This 466-nucleotide ribosomal RNA is filed under the name uncultured bacterium. Its description in RNAcentral is "bacterial SSU rRNA". It matches the Rfam family "Bacterial small subunit ribosomal RNA", at positions 28 to 476 of the family's 1533-position model. The record is from RNAcentral.
GACGAACGCNGGCGGCGUGCCUAAUACAUGCAAGUAGAACGCUGAAGAGAGGAGCUUGCUCUUCUUGGAUGAGUUGCGAACGGGUGAGCAACGCGUAGGUAACCUGCCUGGUAGCGGGGGAUAACUAUUGGAAACGAUAGCUAAUACCGCAUAAAAUUGAUUAUUGCAUGAUAAUUAAUUGAAAGAUGCAAUUGCAUCACUACCAGAUGGACCUGCGUUGUAUUAGCUAGUUGGUGAGGUAACGGCUCACCAAGGCGACGAUACAUAGCCGACCUGAGAGGGUGAUCGGCCACACUGGGACUGAGACACGGCCCAGACUCCUACGGGAGGCAGCAGUAGGGAAUCUUCGGCAAUGGGGGGAACCCUGACCGAGCAACGCCGCGUGAGUGAAGAAGGUUUUCGGAUCGUAAAGCUCUGUUGUAAGAGAAGAACGGGUGUGAGAGNGGAAAGUUCACACNGNGACGGU